CUUGGUUGUCCUGGGAGUUCUGGCUCUGUCCUGUUUUGGUACCAGUAUUGCUGGUGAAUGGAGCCUCAGGGUUUCUGUGUACUCUGUAAGGCUUUGCUCAGCAACCAUGGUAUUACACAGAAAUUGCUGUGACUGGAUUGUUGCUGGAGAAAUGUUGAAUAACCUUCUGCAAAGGGAAACUGAAGGACAGGAUGACAGCUGCCUGCCAUCCCUCAGAUAUCUGAUGACCCCGGGCCAGGACCUGAAACCUGGAUUGACAGAAAACUCCCACUUCUCGGAAAGCACUAGGAAAAUUAUCCUGACUUUGAAAGCAGUUUUCAUCCUGGAGUGGAGGGCCUGCUUAGCAGCUGCU
Long non-coding RNA from Nothoprocta perdicaria, 352 nucleotides. RefSeq lists it as uncharacterized. The record is from RefSeq and is a predicted model, not a curated record. The transcript has 3 exons. Lineage: Eukaryota; Metazoa; Chordata; Aves; Tinamiformes; Tinamidae.